GACGAACGCUGGCGGCGUGCUUAACACAUGCAAGUCGAACGGAAAGGCCCUGCUUUUGUGGGGUGCUCGAGUGGCGAACGGGUGAGUAACACGUGAGUAACCUGCCCUUGACUUUGGGAUAACUUCAGGAAACUGGGGCUAAUACCGGAUAGGAGCUCCUGCUGCAUGGUGGGGGUUGGAAAGUUUCGGCGGUUGGGGAUGGACUCGCGGCUUAUCAGCUUGUUGGUGGGGUAGUGGCUUACCAAGGCUUUGACGGGUAGCCGGCCUGAGAGGGUGACCGGCGAGAGUGGGACUGCGAUACGGACAAGACUCCUGCGGGAGGCAGGAGUGGGGAAUAUUGCACAAUGGGCGGAAGCCUGAUGCAGCAACGCCGCGGGCGGGAUGACGGCCUGCGGGUUGUAAACCGCUAUCGCCUGUGACGAAGCGUGCGUGACGGUAAGGUGUAAGGAAGCAGCGGCUAACUACGUG
Molecule: ribosomal RNA, 468 nt
Filed under: uncultured bacterium
Lineage: Bacteria
Description: partial 16S ribosomal RNA
Rfam family: Bacterial small subunit ribosomal RNA
Source: RNAcentral